AGCAGGGGCCUGUGCUCAUCUGGGCGGACGAUCCGCCCACCCAAGGAAGGACGACUGCUGGUGUGCCGGGAGGGAAGUGCUUUCAGGCUUCCUCCCCACAAAAAGGGGUAGCCCACUGCCCAUGAGAAAGGGCUCAUUACCUUCCAGAACAUGCCCAGGAAAGUCAUUUCCAGCUAAGGAGAGGCCCCUUCUGUCUUUAAUGAGCCUUUCUUGUUGCCUCCCUCUCCCCAAAGGAGCAUGAAGACGAGCAGGAAGUUGGACAAUGUUAGGUGAUGGGGGGAAACACAGCAGCAGUACGACAGUCAAUGUCAGCGGUGGAGGGGGAGUCAUUCAAUGACAAUUCUGCAGGCACCCGAAGACCUUGAGUUGCCCUGGUUUCAACUCUAGAUUUCUUCUGACUGAGCUUGUUUCAUGGCUUGAGCUUCCAAUUCCUGCUUGAUCCCCUUGGUUCUUCUGCUGGCUUCCACUCAAUGCCUGCCUAUAUGCUCAGUUCUCAGAGUCCUGUUCUAGUACAUACAAGCAAACCUUGGCAGCAGAACUCUUCCAACACGAGAGUCUAGACAGGAUAAGGAGGGAGGGCCACAUAUGUCAGGGCUGAGAAGAAGCCCAUUUCCCCACAUCUCAACUGAGGACCCCAUCAUGGUCUCUAAGGAGAAGCAGCGUCCGCUGCACUGCUUAUUGAUGCCAGCAUUUUCCACUUAACUAGACAUUGAAAUACAUAUAUUUACAUCUAA
This is a long non-coding RNA of Hemicordylus capensis (graceful crag lizard), 734 nucleotides long. RefSeq lists it as uncharacterized. NCBI's taxonomy places the organism in Eukaryota, Metazoa, Chordata, Lepidosauria, Squamata, Cordylidae. The transcript is spliced from 2 exons. The record is from RefSeq and is a predicted model, not a curated record.